AGCAUAUCAAUAAGCGGAGGAAAAGAAACUAACAAGGAUUCCCCUAGUAACUGCGAGUGAAGCGGGAAAAGCUCAAAUUUAAAAUCUGGCGGUUCUUGUAGCCGUCCGAGUUGUAAUUUAGAGAAGUGUUAUCCGCGCUGGACCGUGUACAAGUCUCCUGGAAUGGAGCGUCAUAGAGGGUGAGAAUCCCGUCUUUGACACGGACUGCCAGGGCAUUGUGAUGCGCUCUCAAAGAGUCGAGUUGUUUGGGAAUGCAGCUCAAAAUGGGUGGUAAAUUCCAUCUAAAGCUAAAUAUUGAGGAGAGACCGAUAGCGAACAAGUACCGUGAGGGAAAGAUGAAAAGAACUUUGGAAAGAGAGUUAAACAGUACGUGAAAUUGCUGAAAGGGAAACGCUUGAAGUCAGUCGCGUCGUUCAGGACUCAGCCUUGCUUUGCUUGGUGUACUUCCUGUUCGACGGGUCAGCAUCAAUUUUGGUCGGUGGAAAAAGGCUUAGAGAAUGUGGCAUCUUCGGGUGUGUUAUAGCUCUGGGUCGCAUACAUCGGCUGGGAUUGAGGAACUCAGCACGCCGAAAGGCCGGGUACUUGUACCACGUACGUGCUUAGGAUGCUGGCAUAAUGGCUUUAAUCGACCCGUCUUGAAACACGGACCAAGGAGUCUAACAUGCCUGCGAGUGUUUGGGGU
RNAcentral lists this ribosomal RNA (682 nucleotides) under Mycena pseudoinclinata. RNAcentral's name for it is "partial large subunit ribosomal RNA". It matches the Rfam family "Eukaryotic large subunit ribosomal RNA", at positions 37 to 700 of the family's 3401-position model. The record is from RNAcentral. Lineage: Eukaryota; Fungi; Basidiomycota; Agaricomycetes; Agaricales; Mycenaceae.